RNAcentral lists this non-coding RNA (108 nucleotides) under Variovorax sp. RNAcentral describes it as "TPP sequence". It matches the Rfam family "TPP riboswitch aptamer (THI element)". Rfam says of the family: Vitamin B(1) in its active form thiamin pyrophosphate (TPP) is an essential coenzyme that is synthesised by coupling of pyrimidine and thiazole moieties in bacteria. The previously detected thiamin-regulatory element, thi box was extended, resulting in a new, highly conserved RNA secondary structure, the THI element, which is widely distributed in eubacteria and also occurs in some archaea. The record is from RNAcentral. Lineage: Bacteria; Pseudomonadati; Pseudomonadota; Betaproteobacteria; Burkholderiales; Comamonadaceae.
CCCCCCGCUCCGGGGUGUGCGCAAAGAAGCGCACUGAGAUGGCCAGGCGGCCGAACCCGCGAACUUGAUCUGGUUCAUCCCAGCGAAAGAAGAGCUGCGACUCCCGUC